Molecule: ribosomal RNA, 980 nt
Filed under: Advenella sp. C2
Lineage: Bacteria; Pseudomonadati; Pseudomonadota; Betaproteobacteria; Burkholderiales; Alcaligenaceae
Description: bacterial SSU rRNA
Rfam family: Bacterial small subunit ribosomal RNA
Source: RNAcentral
AAGUAGCUUGCUACUUUUGCCGGCGAGUGGCGAACGGGUGAGUAAUGUAUCGGAACGUGCCCAGUAGCGGGGGAUAACUACGCGAAAGCGUGGCUAAUACCGCAUACGCCCUACGGGGGAAAGGGGGGGAUCUUAGGACCUCUCACUAUUGGAGCGGCCGAUAUCGGAUUAGCUAGUUGGUGAGGUAAUGGCUCACCAAGGCAACGAUCCGUAGCUGGUUUGAGAGGACGACCAGCCACACUGGGACUGAGACACGGCCCAGACUCCUACGGGAGGCAGCAGUGGGGAAUUUUGGACAAUGGGGGAAACCCUGAUCCAGCCAUCCCGCGUGUGCGAUGAAGGCCUUCGGGUUGUAAAGCACUUUUGUCAGGGAAGAAAAGGUGUCGGAUAAUACCUGACACUGAUGACGGUACCUGAAGAAUAAGCACCGGCUAACUACGUGCCAGCAGCCGCGGUAAUACGUAGGGUGCAAGCGUUAAUCGGAAUUACUGGGCGUAAAGCGUGCGCAGGCGGUUCGGAAAGAAAGAUGUGAAAUCCCAGGGCUCAACCUUGGAACUGCAUUUUUAACUGCCGGACUAGAGUAUGUCAGAGGGGGGUGGAAUUCCACGUGUAGCAGUGAAAUGCGUAGAUAUGUGGAGGAACACCGAUGGCGAAGGCAGCCCCCUGGGAUAAUACUGACGCUCAUGCACGAAAGCGUGGGUAGCAAACAGGAUUAGAUACCCUGGUAGUCCACGCCCUAAACGAUGUCAACUAGCUGUUGGGCCCUUCGGGGCUUAGUAGCGCAGCUAACGCGUGAAGUUGACCGCCUGGGGAGUACGGUCGCAAGAUUAAAACUCAAAGGAAUUGACGGGGACCCGCACAAGCGGUGGAUGAUGUGGAUUAAUUCGAUGCAACGCGAAAAACCUUACCUACCCUUGACAUGUCUGGAAUCCUGAAGAGAUUUAGGAGUGCUCGCAAGAGAUCCGGAACACAGGUGCUGC